CCCUUAGAUGUUCUGGGCCGCACGCGCGCUACACUGAUACGUGCAACAAGUAUAUAACCUUGGCCGGGAGGCCUGGGUAAUCUUUGAACGCGUAUCGUGAUAGGGAUAGAUUAUUGCAAUUAUUAAUCUUGAACGAGGAAUUCCUAGUAAACGCAAGUCAUCAGCUUGCAUUGAUUACGUCCCUGCCCUUUGUACACACCGCCCGUCGCACCUACCGAUCGAAGGUAAUGAUGAGCCGUCAGGACCGCUGACUUGGCCUUCACGGGCCUUGUCAGUUGAAAUUUCUGCAAAUCCUUGCCUUUAGAGGAAGGUGAANUCGUAACA
This 324-nucleotide ribosomal RNA is filed under the name uncultured eukaryote. RNAcentral describes it as "partial 18S ribosomal RNA". It matches the Rfam family "Eukaryotic small subunit ribosomal RNA", at positions 1470 to 1796 of the family's 1831-position model. The record is from RNAcentral.